UCCAUUUGACGAUAUAAAUGGUCUGGCCUGCUCACUGAUAAAUAUAUUUAAGAGCCGCGGUAUUUUGACCGUGCAAAGGUAGCAUAAUCAUUAGGGGUUUAAUUGGAACCUGGUAUGAAGGGUUGGACAAAGGAAAAACUGUCUUUAGUGUUAUAAGUUGAAGUUUACCUUUAAGUGAAAAGGCUUAAAUAAAUCAAGGGGACGAUAAGACCCUAUAAAGCUUUAUAAAUUAUUUGAGUUUAAUUAAUUUAAAAUAUAAAAAUUAAAUUUAUUUUAUUUUAUUUUAUUGGGGCGAUAUGAGUAUAAUUUUUAUUAACUGCUUAAGGAAGAUACAGAUUUAGGUGAAUAUAAAAUUAAAUGAUCCUUUUUAAAGAUUAAAAGACUAAGUUACUUUAGGGAUAACAGCGUUAUUUCUUUUGAGAGUUCAUAUCGAAAAAGAAGAUUGCGACCUCGAUGUUGAAUUAAAAUAUCUAUAUAAUGCAGCCGUUAUAAAAGAGGGUCUGUUCGACCUUUAAAUUUUUACA
RNAcentral lists this ribosomal RNA (524 nucleotides) under Eurytium limosum (broadback mud crab). RNAcentral's name for it is "partial 16S ribosomal RNA". It matches the Rfam family "Bacterial large subunit ribosomal RNA", at positions 1831 to 2600 of the family's 2925-position model. Lineage: Eukaryota; Metazoa; Arthropoda; Malacostraca; Decapoda; Panopeidae. The record is from RNAcentral.